RNAcentral lists this long non-coding RNA (623 nucleotides) under Jatropha curcas. RNAcentral's name for it is "long non-coding RNA (JCUR_LNC000808)". The record is from RNAcentral. Lineage: Eukaryota; Viridiplantae; Streptophyta; Magnoliopsida; Malpighiales; Euphorbiaceae.
CGACAUAUCAACGACAUGGACUAGUGGCAAUUAGGUUGCCAUGGUGGAUGUCAUCUCACCUGGUUUGAUUUCCUAUUCUCUUCUUUUUGUUUUCUUUUCCUUAGAACUUGUUCUCUUUCUUUUUGUUUUCUUUUUUUUUAUAACUUAAAACUUCAAGAAAUGUAGAAAGCUUUAUUUUGUAAAAUCUAAUCCUGCUCUAUUUUUGAUUUUGUGUUUGUUCCAUUUUUGAUUUUUUGUUUGUUUCAUUUUCGAAAUAUCAACAACAUUAAUAUAAGGCUACGCUUGUAUAACAAAUGUCAAGCUAGCCUCUUUGCCGGAGUUUGAAGAACUCCCUUUUGCAUCUCCGCCGCAAUAAGAUCCGUAGCUAUUGCUCUCAUUCCCUGGCUUAUCCAUUUCAGCAAGCUCUUUCCUAGAUCUCUUCAUCCAAGUGAGUCUCAUUUUGAUGCAAAUACUUCAUAUUUAUCUCUUUUUUCUUUUCCUUUUCCAUUUCUUCUUGAAUUAGAAUGAUCUUUUUACUUUUCAUGUUACUGGACUAGCAUCUCUUGAAUUGUUAUUGUUGGAUUUUGAGAUACUAGUAGAUUUUUUUUGGAAUUUUCCUUCUCCUGGUGCUGGUUUUGGGUUUG